Molecule: ribosomal RNA, 498 nt
Filed under: uncultured bacterium
Lineage: Bacteria
Description: bacterial SSU rRNA
Rfam family: Bacterial small subunit ribosomal RNA
Source: RNAcentral
GACGAACGCUGGCGGCGUGCUUAACACAUGCAAGUCGAACGGUGAGGAGGAGCUUGCUCCUCCGAUCAGUGGCGAACGGGUGAGUAACACGUGAGUAACCUGCCCCAGACCCUGGGAUAACAGUUGGAAACAGCUGCUAAUACCGGAUACGAGACGGAGAGGCAUCUCUACCGUCUGGAAAGAUUUAUCGGUCUGGGGAUGGACUCGCGGCCUAUCAGCUUGUUGGUGAGGUAAAGGCUCACCAAGGCGACGACGGGUAGCCGGCCUGAGAGGGCGACCGGCCACACUGGGACUGAGACACGGCCCAGACUCCUACGGGAGGCAGCAGUGGGGAAUAUUGCACAAUGGGCGAAAGCCUGAUGCAGCGACGCCGCGUGAGGGAUGACGGCCUUCGGUGUAACUCUUCUAGCAGGAGAAGACGAAAGUAGACGGUACCUGCAGAAGAAGACACCGGCUAACUACGUGCCAGCAGCCGCGGUAAAAUAAGACGUACUACCG